Long non-coding RNA from Serinus canaria (Common canary), 1280 nucleotides. RefSeq lists it as uncharacterized. The record is from RefSeq and is a predicted model, not a curated record. The transcript has 5 exons. NCBI's taxonomy places the organism in Eukaryota, Metazoa, Chordata, Aves, Passeriformes, Fringillidae.
CCCACACUGGAACAUGUGGAUGUUGCAGCCCAAAGGUGGCUGCAACCCCAUGGGAAGUCCACACUGGAGCAGGGUCCUGGCAGGACCUGUGGCCCCAUGGAGAGAGGAGCUCAUACUAGAGCAGGUUUCCUGGCAGGAUUUGUGACCCCAUGAGGGUACCUUGCUAGAGCAGGCUGUGCCUGAAGGAUUGCUCCCUGAGGAAGGUAGCACCAUGAGGAAGGGGUGAGGGCAGGUGAGUUUUUUAAAGAUUUGUUUUUAAUUUCUCAUUUCCCUAGUCCUGACUGGUAAGAAAUUUAUCUUCCCCAAGCUGAGUCUGUUUUGUCCAUGACAGUAAUUAAUAGGUGAACAACCUCUCCUUGUCCUUAUCUCAACCCAGAAGCCUUUCAUUAAAUUUUUUCUCCCCAGGCUAGCAGAGGAGGGGAAUGAUAGAAUGGCUUUGGUGAGCAGCUGACAUCCAGCCAGGGUCAACCCAGCCUAGAUGGGAAGGAGUUAGAUGGUAUUUUUUAAGGGGGGCCAAGGACAGUAAGUUUCAUUGUUACUGAGCCUCCAUUUAUAUGUCUUAGCAGAGAUUGAAGUGGAAAUGCUUACAUAUAGCAUGGUUGCUACUGCCAUCUCUGACUGAGGUCUCAGAUUCCAGAACUGGAAUGGUAGAGCAGACCCAGAAAAGCCAGUGUCUGCUGGCAUGCAAGUGACUGGACAAGUCAGCCUCUUUGAAGGCAGAGCUGCCUCCAUGAACCAAGCUGGAGCAGGAAUCAGGCCACUCAGCCAGCAGAGCAAGCAUCUCCUUGCUGAGAAGUCCUGGAAGACGCAAUUGGCCAUUGUUCAGCGCCGCAGUUGACCCAGCUGACGCGAACGAACCAUGUGCUGCAUGUUUAAUGGAAACAGAGUUAUGGAGGUGAUACUGGAAGACGCUUUGGACUCAGCUGUCCAAACAAAUGCUCUACUUGUCCUGUGUCCAGAAGGCAACUGCUGGCUCAUGUAGAUCUUCACUAAUGCUAAGAGGCAUAUUUGGUGACUAACUGUAAAAGCCAAAAGACAAAGUCUCUGAGAGAUCAGAAGAUUUAAGCAGAACUAUCUGAAGUCUACUUGCCCCCUUGUCUGCUGUCUGAGCCUCCCAGUGUCUGAAAUUUUGAAACUGAAAUCCCUUUGAUGCCUGAAGGACUUCUCCUGGGCAUAUUAGAGGUUCUUUGUUCCUGCGGCUGCAUGGAUCAUCUUGAGGCUGAAGACUAAGCCUGUCAGGAUUCACAAACCUGCUGAUUCCUCACUCAGCCUGUUUAAAG